AGUGAACGCUGGCGGCAGGCCUAAUACAUGCAAGUCGAACGGCAGCACAGCAGAGCUUGCUCUGUGGGUGGCGAGUGGCGGACGGGUGAGGAAUACGUGGGAAUCUGCCCAGUCGUGGGGGAUAACGUAGGGAAACUUACGCUAAUACCGCAUGCGCCCUUCGGGGAAAGCCGGGGACCUUCGGGCCUGGCGCGAAUUGGAUGAGCCCACGUCGGAUUAGCUAGUUGGCGGGGUAAAGGCCCACCAAGGCGACGAUCCGUAGCUGGUCUGAGAGGAUGAUCAGCCACACUGGAACUGAGACACGGUCCAGACUCCUACGGGAGGCAGCAGUAGGGAAUAUUGGACAAUGGGCGCAAAGCCCUGAUCCAGCCAUGCCGCGUGAGUGAAGAAGGCCCUC
RNAcentral lists this ribosomal RNA (397 nucleotides) under uncultured bacterium. RNAcentral describes it as "bacterial SSU rRNA". It matches the Rfam family "Bacterial small subunit ribosomal RNA", at positions 29 to 419 of the family's 1533-position model. The record is from RNAcentral.